UUUGAUGAACAGCAUCAACACUGAGUGUUUGUGUUAAUGCAUGCCUCACGCCCAUUAUUAAGAAGGAUCUUAGGCGUGCCUCUGUCUUCCUGUACUAAAUUUCUACUUAUUUUGCAAGAGUGCUCAGGAAGAUCAAUUGGCACCAAGAUAGUAAACUACCACCACAUAUUUUUUUAAGAAUAUGAAAGUAUCACAGACACUUACAUGCCACUUCCAGAGAUGCAUUUCGACUCACUGCUUCACCAAGAUAGUUCCUUGCAACACAAACGUAACUCCCUUCGUCCGGUUUACUUCUGCGCCCAUGAACAAUUCGCAAAAAGAAUAAAGAUCCGCUGGGCAGAAGCAUUCUGUGGGACCUGGGAUCAUCCUUGUCUGUCUCCACCCUCUCACCAUCCUUGUACCAUUCAAUGGUGGGGGUGGGUCGGCCCUCUGCUUUACAGUUCAGAGUGGUGGGCUCUCCCUUGGAGACGAUGACAUCAGAAGGGUGUUCUACGAUCCUGGGGGGAAAGUCUUCUUGACGAAGACGAGAUCCCCCCUUCCAAGGUUUGCCCUUCCAGGGGGUCCUGGUCAGCUUGCCUAGAGUUGGUCCUGAGAAGAAUAACAUCAAAACGAAGAGAAGUUCGAGUCUAGUAAUUUUGUCCACUUUCUCGGAUGAUAACAUUUCCACAAGUGAAUUUUAUAAAAAUUUCUCACAUCCUCUUCCCUCCGGGUUCUGAAGGUAGCAUUGAUCAUUGAGAAGUCGGAGGUAGGUGGUGUUUUGCCAUCUUUAGCAGCUGAAGG
This 780-nucleotide non-coding RNA is filed under the name Mus musculus (house mouse). The record is from RNAcentral. Lineage: Eukaryota; Metazoa; Chordata; Mammalia; Rodentia; Muridae.